CCUACGUGCGGCAGCAGUGAGGAAUCUUGGUCAAUGGGCUUACGCCUGAACCAGCCAAGUCGCGUGAGGGAAGACUGCCCUAUGGGUUGUAAACCUCUUUUGUCAGGGAGCACUUGGCGCUACGGGUAGCGUUAUCGAGAGUACCUGAAGAACAAGCAUCGGCUAACUCCUUGCCAGCAGCCGCGGUCAUACGGAGGAGGCGAGCGUUAUCCGGAUUUAUUGGGUUUAAAGGGUGAGUAGAUGGGUUGUUAAGUCAGUUGUGAAAGUUUGCGGCUCAACCGUAAAAUUGCAAUUGAUACUGGCAGUCUUGAGUACAGUUGAGGUAGGCGGAAGUCGUGGUGGAGCGGUGAAAUGCUUAGCUAUCACGAAGAACCCCGAUUGCGAAGGCAGCUUACUAAACUGUGACUGACAUUGAUGCUCGAAAGUGUGGGUAUCAAACAGGAUUAGAGACCCCUGUAGUC
This 461-nucleotide ribosomal RNA is filed under the name uncultured bacterium. Its description in RNAcentral is "partial 16S ribosomal RNA". It matches the Rfam family "Bacterial small subunit ribosomal RNA", at positions 338 to 795 of the family's 1533-position model. The record is from RNAcentral.